CGGGACGUAGCGCAGCUUGGUAGCGCACCUGAAUGGGGUUCAGGGGGUCGCGGGUUCAAAUCCCGCCGUCCCGA
RNAcentral lists this transfer RNA (74 nucleotides) under Bradyrhizobium sp. RNAcentral's name for it is "tRNA-Pro". It matches the Rfam family "tRNA". Rfam says of the family: Transfer RNA (tRNA) molecules are approximately 80 nucleotides in length. Their secondary structure includes four short double-helical elements and three loops (D, anti-codon, and T loops). Lineage: Bacteria; Pseudomonadati; Pseudomonadota; Alphaproteobacteria; Hyphomicrobiales; Nitrobacteraceae. RNAcentral also lists the same sequence under 2 other names. The record is from RNAcentral.